AAUGAACGCUGGCGACGUGCUUAACACAUGCAAGUCGAGCGAGAAAGUCCUUUCGGGGACGAGUACAGCGGCGAACGGGCGAGUAACGCGUAAGAAUCGUACCUUUUAGUGGGGAAUACCUUCGGGAAACUGGAGUUAAUACCGCAUAAUCCUUUCGAGGGAAAGACGGCCUCUUUGCUGUCGCUGAAAGAUGAGCUUGCGUACUAUUAGUUAGUUGGUGGGGUAAAGGCCUACCAAGACAGAGAUGGUUAGCCGGCCUGAGAGGGUGAUCGGCCACAUUGGGACUGAGAUACGGCCCAG
Molecule: ribosomal RNA, 300 nt
Filed under: uncultured bacterium
Lineage: Bacteria
Description: bacterial SSU rRNA
Rfam family: Bacterial small subunit ribosomal RNA
Source: RNAcentral